UACGUAGGGUGCGAGCGUUAAUCGGAAUUACUGGGCGUAAAGCGUGCGCAGGCGGUUCGUUAAGUUCGAUGUGAAAGCCCCGGGCUCAACCUGGGAACUGCAUUGGAAACUGGCGAGCUUGAAUGCGGCAGAGGGGGGUGGAAUUCCGCGUGUAGCAGUGAAAUGCGUAGAGAUGCGGAGGAACACCGGUGGCGAAGGCAGCCCCCUGGGCCGACAUUGACGCUCAGGCACGAAAGCGUGGGGAGCAAACAGG
RNAcentral lists this ribosomal RNA (253 nucleotides) under uncultured bacterium. RNAcentral describes it as "partial 16S ribosomal RNA". It matches the Rfam family "Bacterial small subunit ribosomal RNA", at positions 524 to 776 of the family's 1533-position model. The record is from RNAcentral.